Molecule: ribosomal RNA, 253 nt
Filed under: uncultured bacterium
Lineage: Bacteria
Description: partial 16S ribosomal RNA
Rfam family: Bacterial small subunit ribosomal RNA
Source: RNAcentral
UACAGAGGGGGCAAGCGUUGUUCGGAAUUACUGGGCGUAAAGGGCGCGUAGGCGGCCUUCUAAGUCGAACGUGAAAUCCCCGGGCUCAACCCGGGAACUGCGUCCGAUACUGGAAGGCUUGAAUUCGGGAGAGGGAUGCGGAAUUCCAGGUGUAGCGGUGAAAUGCGUAGAUAUCCGGAGGAACACCAGUGGCGAAAGCGGCCACCUGGACUGCACCUGACGCUGACACGCGAAAGCUAGGGGAGCGAACGGG